RNAcentral lists this ribosomal RNA (253 nucleotides) under uncultured bacterium. Its description in RNAcentral is "partial 16S ribosomal RNA". It matches the Rfam family "Bacterial small subunit ribosomal RNA", at positions 524 to 776 of the family's 1533-position model. The record is from RNAcentral.
UACGGAGGGAGCUAGCGUUGUUCGGAAUUACUGGGCGUAAAGCGCACGUAGGCGGCAUAGCAAGUCGGAUGUGAAAUCCCUCGGCUCAACCAAGGAAGUGCAUCCGAAACUGCUGUGCUUGAGUACGAAAGAGGAUCGCGGAAUUCCCGGUGUAGAGGUGAAAUUCGUAGAUAUCGGGAGGAACACCAGUGGCGAAGGCGGCGAUCUGGGUCGAUACUGACGCUGAGGUGCGAAAGCGUGGGGAGCAAACAGG